RNAcentral lists this small nuclear RNA (183 nucleotides) under Echeneis naucrates (live sharksucker). RNAcentral describes it as "U2 spliceosomal RNA (ENSENLG00000000770.1)". It matches the Rfam family "U2 spliceosomal RNA". From Rfam's summary of the family: U2 is a small nuclear RNA (snRNA) component of the spliceosome (involved in pre-mRNA splicing). Complementary binding between U2 snRNA (in an area lying towards the 5' end but 3' to hairpin I) and the branchpoint sequence (BPS) of the intron results the bulging out of an unpaired adenosine, on the BPS, which initiates a nucleophilic attack at the intronic 5' splice site, thus starting the first of two transesterification reactions that mediate splicing. Lineage: Eukaryota; Metazoa; Chordata; Actinopteri; Carangiformes; Echeneidae. The record is from Rfam by way of RNAcentral.
ACAACGUAAUUUUCUGAAAAUAACAUGUCGGUGGUUGUUUUCAGUUUAAUAUCUGAUACGUCCCCUACCCGGGGACCAUAUAUUAAAUAGAUUUUUGGAACAGGGAGAUGGAAUAGGGGCUUGCUCCGUCCACUCCACGCAUCGACCUGGUAUUGCAGUAUCUCCAGGAACGGUCCACUCAAA